CGUGGUUUUUCGAGUGAUUUGACCGGGCUUUUUUGAGUGUGACCACUUUUUUCGAGUGAAUAUGAUCAAAAAUGUAAACAAACAGACUUCUUUUCUAACAAGACGUGAUAUAGAAGCUUGAGUUUGAUAUACAAGGUUAUACCUGGUAUGUUAGUAUUUGAGAUAAAAAGAUAUGAUCAUUCUGACAUUUCUUUUCGUUAAAAAA
RNAcentral lists this long non-coding RNA (205 nucleotides) under Mytilus galloprovincialis (Mediterranean mussel). Lineage: Eukaryota; Metazoa; Mollusca; Bivalvia; Mytilida; Mytilidae. The record is from RNAcentral.